CCUACGGGAGGCAGCAGUGAGGAAUAUUGGUCAAUGGACGAGAGUCUGAACCAGCCAAGUAGCGUGAAGGAUGACUGCCCUAUGGGUUGUAAACUUCUUUUAUAUGGGAAUAAAACGUUCCACGUGUGGGAUUUUGUAUGUACCAUAUGAAUAAGGAUCGGCUAACUCCGUGCCAGCAGCCGCGGUAAUACGGAGGAUCCGAGCGUUAUCCGGAUUUAUUGGGUUUAAAGGGAGCGUAGGUGGAUUGUUAAGUCAGUUGUGAAAGUUUGCGGCUCAACCGUAAAAUUGCAGUUGAAACUGGCAGUCUUGAGUACAGUAGAGGUGGGCGGAAUUCGUGGUGUAGCGGUGAAAUGCUUAGAUAUCACGAAGAACUCAGAGUGCGAAGGCAGUUCACUGGACUGCAACUGACACUGAGGCUCGAAAGUGUGGGUAUCAAACAGGAUUAGAUACCCCUGUAGUC
RNAcentral lists this ribosomal RNA (460 nucleotides) under uncultured bacterium. Its description in RNAcentral is "partial 16S ribosomal RNA". It matches the Rfam family "Bacterial small subunit ribosomal RNA", at positions 338 to 795 of the family's 1533-position model. The record is from RNAcentral.